Molecule: unclassified non-coding RNA, 334 nt
Filed under: soil metagenome
Description: partial contains 5.8S ribosomal RNA, internal transcribed spacer 2, and large subunit ribosomal RNA
Rfam family: 5.8S ribosomal RNA (bases 1-120)
Source: RNAcentral
GAUGAAGAACGUAGUGAAAUGCGAUAAGUAAUGUGAAUUGCAGAAUUCAGUGAAUCAUCGAAUCUUUGAACGCACAUUGCGCCCGCCAGUAUUCUGGCGGGCAUGCCUGUUCGAGCGUCAUUUCAACCAUCAAGCCCCAGGCUUGUGUUGGGGACCUGCGGCUGCCGCAGGCCCUGAAAACCAGUGGCGGGCUCGCUGUCACACCGGGCGUAGUAGAUUUUAUCUCGCUCAGGGCGUGCUGCGGGUUCCGGCCGUUAAAAAGCCUUUUUUACCCAAGGUUGACCUCGGAUCAGGUAGGAAGACCCGCUGAACUUAAGCAUAUCAAAGCGGAGGA